CCUACGGGGGGCUGCAGUGGGGAAUAUUGGACAAUGGGCGAAAGCCUGAUCCAGCCAUGCCGCGUGUGUGAAGAAGGCCUUCGGGUUGUAAAGCACUUUCAGUGGGGAAGAAAGCCUUGGGGCUAAUACCCUCGAGGAAGGACAUCACCCACAGAAGAAGCACUGGCUAACUCCGUGCCAGCAGCCGCGGUAAUACGGAGGGUGCGAGCGUUAAUCGGAAUUACUGGGCGUAAAGCGCGCGUAGGCGGUCUGAUAAGCCGGUUGUGAAAGCCCCGGGCUCAACCUGGGAACGGCAUCCGGAACUGUCAGGCUAGAGUGCAGGAGAGGAAGGUAGAAUUCCCGGUGUAGCGGUGAAAUGCGUAGAGAUCGGGAGGAAUACCAGUGGCGAAGGCGGCCUUCUGGACUGACACUGACGCUGAGGUGCGAAAGCGUGGGUAGCAAACAGGAUUAGAUACCCUGGUAGUC
RNAcentral lists this ribosomal RNA (465 nucleotides) under Vreelandella stevensii. Its description in RNAcentral is "partial 16S ribosomal RNA". It matches the Rfam family "Bacterial small subunit ribosomal RNA", at positions 338 to 795 of the family's 1533-position model. The record is from RNAcentral. Lineage: Bacteria; Pseudomonadati; Pseudomonadota; Gammaproteobacteria; Oceanospirillales; Halomonadaceae.